UUUUAAAUGACAUAAUUUUAAUGACAAUUUGAUAAGAAAUGACUAAUAUUUUUUAAAUCUUAACAAUUUAAAUAAUGAAUAAUAAAAAUUAAUAUAUAAAAUUGAAGAAAAAUACAUGUGGGUAGAAAUAAUAUAAAUUAAAGGAACCAAAAUAGGAGGAAAAAAAUUAUAAAUUUAAUUAACAUAUGUAAAGAUGCAGUUCAAUAGUCAAGUUCGGAGAAUUUGAUGCCUUGAAAUUGUAAAAUCAAAAACUUAAUAACUUAAAAGUGUGCAUAUUGUUACCUAUUAAAUUCAAAUGUUGUAGUUUAAAUUUUCAAAAUUUAGAGAUUACAGUUUCGAAUAUAACUUAAAAUAAAAAAAUAAUAUAUAAUGUAUUGGAAUUUAGAAUCUUACUUAAAGAACUUUGACGGGGAGAU
RNAcentral lists this unclassified non-coding RNA (416 nucleotides) under Melitaea cinxia (Glanville fritillary). RNAcentral's name for it is "misc RNA ENSMCXG00005016420.1". Lineage: Eukaryota; Metazoa; Arthropoda; Insecta; Lepidoptera; Nymphalidae. The record is from RNAcentral.